RNAcentral lists this ribosomal RNA (253 nucleotides) under uncultured bacterium. RNAcentral describes it as "partial 16S ribosomal RNA". It matches the Rfam family "Bacterial small subunit ribosomal RNA", at positions 524 to 776 of the family's 1533-position model. The record is from RNAcentral.
GACGAAGGGGGCUAGCGUUGUUCGGAAUUACUGGGCGUAAAGCGCGUGUAAGCGGUUAUCCAAGUCGGGUGUGAAAGCCUUGAGCUCAACUCAAGAAAUGCACUCGGUACUGGGUGACUAGAGGACCGGAGAGGAUAGUGGAAUUCCCAGUGUAGUGGUGAAAUACGUAGAGAUUGGGAAGAACACCAGUGGCGAAGGCGGCUAUCUGGACGGUUUCUGACGCUAAGACGCGAAAGCGUGGGGAGCAAACAGG